This 1558-nucleotide long non-coding RNA is filed under the name Equus caballus (horse). RNAcentral's name for it is "lncRNA (ENSECAG00000045383.1)". The record is from RNAcentral. Lineage: Eukaryota; Metazoa; Chordata; Mammalia; Perissodactyla; Equidae.
GGAAGCUGAAGGGGAUUUUCUCUGAUGUUUAUUGUAGGAACCUGGUGGAGCUCCUGGAGGUAAACCUCACAAUAUUUUGGGGACUCUCCUAUGACUGAAUUCCCCUGGUGUCUUUAAUUUCUGACUUAUCCACACUGAGCCUUCAGCAAUUCAUCAAAUACACUUCAGGAUUUCCUACCCAGCACUGAUCCUGGCGUAGUUUCUGCGGGAUGAAGGAUUGACACCAGAGCUAAUGAGUACAGCAGACUACACCCAUGCUCCAGAUAAUCAGCAGCAAUUUAUCCAAAUCAGAAAAAAAAAAAUCAUGUUUGGGAAGAUGGUGACCACCUGCCUUGACACCCACCCAAGCACCAGCAGGCUGGGCGGACCCCUUCAACAAUGGCAAGAGGAUGGCUGAAAUUUGAAGAACACAUCACUCUGGAAACCAAAGGGUGGAAGCAGAAGCAGCCCCACUUCCCAAACUCCCAACGACUCACUGCAGAAUUUUGUCCUUCCUGUCCCUGUUCUUCUUGGUUCUGCAAGGUUGGAGGUCCUGGGUCCUACUCUUGCCAGGGGCCACAGAAAUGGUCCCAUUGGGAAUAAGCUAUGGAUGCCACCAGAGAAAUUUUGACUCUUUGUGUUCAGAGACCAGCAGGCAAGAGGAAGAGUCAACAUCUUGACAAGGUCAUUGACUCUGAUCGUCAAGACAAGACUUUUGGAAACACUUGGAGAGUUUCAAAAGCUCAUAGCAAGGUCUCGCCCCCCAACUAUCAAUCAUUGAGGAGCUUGGGUGGAGAGCUGCUCAUGAGUGUGUUAAAUGAUGAUUUUUUGGGUGCUGUAUCUGGCGAUGUCUUCUCUGAACUUUCUCAUGGUCAUGGUAUCAUCAUACAAUUAAAGAAACAGAGUGGGAAAAAUCCUUCACUUUCAGACCACUAGUAAAAAGUCACAGAGAUCUGAAAGGGAAUAUUGCCUGCAGAAAAUUGUGACCUGCUCUAUCCCACUUACACUAAAACAGUCUCUUUCCAGGGUUUCAAAUUCUGCUCUUGAAAUCCAGUCCAACACGAUCAAGCUACUUUCCAGCUUUCCAGAUCUCUGAAUAACUUCUUUCCUGGAUUUGUCUGCACAUUAUACUUUACGCUGGCUCUUUUCCAUUAUCAUAUACUUUAUGAGAGAAAGCCUUACAGUUCUCAAGACAAAUUAGGAGCUAUUUUUUAGUUCAAAAGUUAUUUUUGUAAUAAUUGACCUUGUAUGUAAAUUCAAUAAUAUGUAGGAACAAAAGAUAUCCUCAAAUUGUAAGGAUUAUCGUGAUUUCUGAUUAAUAUUUGAAUAUCUACAUAAGUUUAAAUAUAACUCUGAGACUUUGCUUUUCAGAAUAAUUCACUCAUUCAUUCAUUUGUUCAUUAAUUUGUUCAUUCAUUUCUUCAUUCAUACUAAAAUAACUUAAUGAGAACUUAAUUUUUGUCAAGCUCUAUUCUACUCAUUCAGGAUAUAACUAUAAAUUUCUGUAAAACUAUAAAAUAUAAAUGUGUAAAGGUUUCUUCUCUUGUAGAGCUUACAUUUUAAUGGAAAAUACUAAUGA